GGCGUGCCUAAUACAUGCAAGUCGAGCGGACAGAUGGGAGCUUGCUCCCUGAUGUUAGCGGCGGACGGGUGAGUAACACGUGGGUAACCUGCCUGUAAGACUGGGAUAACUCCGGGAAACCGGGGCUAAUACCGGAUGGUUGUUUGAACCGCAUGGUUCAAACAUAAAAGGUGGCUUCGGCUACCACUUACAGAUGGACCCGCGGCGCAUUAGCUAGUUGGUGAGGUAACGGCUCACCAAGGCGACGAUGCGUAGCCGACCUGAGAGGGUGAUCGGCCACACUGGGACUGAGACACGGCCCAGACUCCUACGGGAGGCAGCAGUAGGGAAUCUUCCGCAAUGGACGAAAGUCUGACGGAGCAACGCCGCGUGAGUGAUGAAGGUUUUCGGAUCGUAAAGCUCUGUUGUUAGGGAAGAACAAGUACCGUUCGAAUAGGGCGGUACCUUGACGGUACCUAACCAGAAAGCCACGGCUAACUACGUGCCAGCAGCCGCGGUAAUACGUAGGUGGCAAGCGUUGUCCGGAAUUAUUGGGCGUAAAGGGCUCGCAGGCGGUUUCUUAAGUCUGAUGUGAAAGCCCCCGGCUCAACCGGGGAGGGUCAUUGGAAACUGGGGAACUUGAGUGCAGAAGAGGAGAGUGGAAUUCCACGUGUAGCGGUGAAAUGCGUAGAGAUGUGGAGGAACACCAGUGGCGAAGGCGACUCUCUGGUCUGUAACUGACGCUGAGGAGCGAAAGCGUGGGGAGCGAACAGGAUUAGAUACCCUGGUAGUCC
RNAcentral lists this ribosomal RNA (773 nucleotides) under Bacillus sp. E3.As 2. Its description in RNAcentral is "bacterial SSU rRNA". It matches the Rfam family "Bacterial small subunit ribosomal RNA", at positions 41 to 796 of the family's 1533-position model. The record is from RNAcentral. Lineage: Bacteria; Bacillati; Bacillota; Bacilli; Caryophanales; Bacillaceae.